AUUGAACGCUGGCGGCAGGCCUAACACAUGCAAGUCGAACGGUAACAGGAAGAAGCUUGCUUCUUUGCUGACGAGUGGCGGACGGGUGAGUAAUGUCUGGGAAACUGCCUGAUGGAGGGGGAUAACUACUGGAAACGGUAGCUAAUACCGCAUAACGUCGCAAGACAAAAGAGGGGGACCUUCGGGCCUCUUGCCAUCGGAUGUGCCCAGAUGGGAUUAGCUAGUAGGUGGGGUAACGGCUCACCUAGGCGACGAUCCCUAGCUGGUCUGAGAGGAUGACCAGCCACACUGGAACUGAGACACGGUCCAGACUCCUACGGGAGGCAGCAGUGGGGAAUAUUGCACAAUGGGCGCAAGCCUGAUGCAGCCAUGCCGCGUGUAUGAAGAAGGCCUUCGGGUUGUAAAGUACUUUCAGCGGGGAGGAAGGGAGUAAAGUUAAUACCUUUGCUCAUUGACGUUACCCGCAGAAGAAGCACCGGCUAACUCCGUG
This 490-nucleotide ribosomal RNA is filed under the name uncultured bacterium. RNAcentral describes it as "partial 16S ribosomal RNA". It matches the Rfam family "Bacterial small subunit ribosomal RNA", at positions 30 to 507 of the family's 1533-position model. The record is from RNAcentral.